AGUGAUUAAAAGCACAGUCGAGCCGCAGGGGGCCGCUGCGGGGAGGGUCUUCUUGGGGCCGCCUUGCCCCGCCCCAGUCCGGUCGUGGCUGGGGUUCGAGCCACUGCUCCGCAGGCCUGAGUGUACGGGGCAUGAGCGGGGUUUGGGGGGCCGGAGGGCCUCGGUGCCAGGCGGCGCUCGCGGUCCUGGCCUCUCUGUGCCGGGCCCGGCCGCCCCCUCUCGGGCUGGACGUGGAGACUUGUCGGAGCUUCGAGCUGCAGCCCCCGGAGCAGAGUCCGAGCGCGGCCGACUCAGGCGGGAACCUCCUGCCCGGGCGGUGCGGACCCUGCGCCGGACGUAGCCCCGGCGGCCGCCCGAGCCAAGUCGAGCUUACCGGAGCCGGCACCUCUGUCAGCCUCCUCGCCGUGGUAGUUAUUGUGUGUGGCGUGGCCCUGGUGGCAGUUUUUCUCUUUCUCUUUUGGAAGCUGUGCUGGAUGCCCAGGAGGAGCAAGGAGGCUUCCAGCCCCUCUUCUGCUAACCCUGCUUCAGAGACUCUCCCAAGUCCCAGCUCCAGACGCAACAUGGCGGAUAAGCUGAAGGACCCCAGUGCUCUGGGCUUCCUGGAGGCGGCUGUGAAGAUCAGCCACACUUCCCCAGAUAUCCCAGCCGAGGUGCAGAUGUCAGUCAAAGAGCACAUCAUGCGUCACACGAGGCUGCAGCGACAGACCACAGAACCAGCAUCAUCCACCAGACACACGUCCUUCAAGCGUCACCUGCCACGGCAGAUGCACGUCUCCAGUGUAGACUACGGUAACGAGCUCCCGCCAGCGGCCGAGCAGCCCACCAGCAUUGGCCGCAUCAAGCCUGAGCUCUACAAGCAGAAGUCAGUGGAUGGGGAUGAUGCCAAGUCUGAGGCCGCCAAGAGCUGUGGGAAGAUCAACUUCAGCCUCCGCUAUGACUACGAGAGCGAGACCCUGAUUGUGCGCAUCCUGAAGGCCUUUGACCUCCCGGCCAAGGACUUUUGUGGAAGCUCUGACCCUUACGUCAAGAUCUACCUCCUGCCCGACCGCAAGUGCAAGAUGCAGACCCGGGUGCACCGCAAGACCCUGAACCCCACCUUUGACGAGAACUUCCACUUCCCCGUGCCCUAUGAGGGCCUGGCUGACCGCAAGCUGCAUCUCAGUGUCUUUGACUUUGACCGCUUCUCCCGCCAUGACAUGAUCGGGGAGGUCAUCCUGGACAAUCUCUUUGAGGCCUCUGACCUGUCCCGGGAGACCUCCAUUUGGAAGGACAUCCAGUACGCCACGAGUGAAAGUGUGGACCUGGGAGAGAUCAUGUUCUCGCUCUGCUACCUGCCCACAGCAGGCAGGCUCACCCUCACAGUGAUCAAGUGUCGCAAUCUCAAGGCAAUGGACAUCACAGGCUACUCAGAUCCCUACGUCAAAGUGUCCCUGCUGUGUGACGGCCGGAGACUGAAAAAGAAGAAAACAACCAUAAAAAAGAACACCCUCAACCCUGUCUACAACGAGGCCAUCAUCUUUGACAUCCCCCCAGAAAACAUGGACCAAGUGAGCCUGCUCAUCUCCGUUAUGGACUACGAUAGAGUUGGCCACAAUGAGAUCAUAGGAGUCUGUAGAGUGGGGAUCAAUGCCGAAGGCCUUGGCAGGGACCACUGGAAUGAGAUGCUGGCAUACCCACGGAAGCCCAUUGCACACUGGCACUCCUUGGUGGAGGUAAAGAAAUCCUUCAAAGAGGGAACCCCUCGGUUGUGAUUUCACUCACGUGGAUGCUGCAAGCGGAGAGACAGCCACUGGAGUUAGGAUGGCAGGGCCGAGCUGCCAGCUUCGACAGUGAGAGCUCAUGCCCAUCUCCGAAACCACCUCCGACACCAUGAGCCGCACAGCCGAGCCACACAAACGGGACUCAGCAACGUUCUUUUCACACUUGUUCCGGUCGUCCAAACGCAGUGUUUGUGCAGUCACGGUGAUGGCCGAGCCGCCGCCACAGCAGCCACUGCCUGCAGCCCAUGGUCUUCACUGCUCCUGUGCGGGGCAAGGCCGAGACACUUGUCCUUUGUGAUCAGACCUGUCUUAGUCUUUUCUGUCUCCCAAGGUGAUGUUUUCAUGGUUUUUCGCUUUGUUUGGGUCUGCUGUCAAGAAGGAAAGGAAAACACAGUGGUUAGAGACAUAAAACAAAGAGUGGAGAGCCCAGAAGUUGGUUCUGGGACAUACAAUGUAAAAUAAGCUGUCUACUGGGGAAAGGCAGACUGAAUCUGAGAUUUUGUGCCUCCACCAAGCGCUCACCCCUGGAGCUGUGGCCGUGUUUUCAGUGUCCUGCAAGAACGGGACCUAUCAAUCUCGGAGCCUGUCUGGGGUGGAUUGUUCUUCUUGGGAGCUCUUCACUGCAGUGACACAAGCCAAGACAUGGUCCUCUUGUCCCACGUUGAAAUCAUGAGACCUCUGUCGUGUUUGUGACUCUGUGGGGGAUCCCUGCUCCCCUCUUUCCCCAACUGGAACCGUUUGGAUUCCUCGCGGGAACUUAGCACUUUCCUUAGGAAUGGUCCCGCUGAAACUAACCACGCCAUAUGUUUUCCAACACGCCACAGUUAAUGAUCACAUUUGUUUGAAAACACGAGCUUAGUUCUCAAAAAUAACCUUCACUGUAAAGAAAGGAGGCGCAUAUGUUCCAGAACGAUUUCUGUGUUAUACAUAGCUUUAUAAUUCCACAAAGUACCAAGCAGCUGCUUAAAAUGCCUAAACAGAGCAAAGAAAAAAAUCUAGAUAACAUGUUCUUAUCUGAAUGGGGCAUUUUGAAAUCCAAACCACAUUUUUAAGUCUGCCUGUCUGUGAAGAGCCUCCUGUUAGUUGAAACCCAGUCAGCCAGAGACUAGUUCAGACUCUGGGUCACUAACUCACCUUAAACUUUAGUUCUAUUAACUAGUAAGUAUUCUGUGUUGUUUGUUUCUGUCUCAGUGAGAGGAUCUUUGCUUGUUUGUUUUUCUAUUAGAUCUCUACCUUAGGCCAAAUUCAGUUUAGAAAACAAAAACGAACGACUGUAUUUAUAAUAGCACAUUCCUACUGAGUGACUAGUGGCCUUCCCACUAUGCCCUGGAAGCAGGGUGAUCUUCUCAGUCUAAAGCAAACACAUAAAGGUGAGUUACCACUCCGCUUGUGGCUACACGGUACCGAUUUUCAGCGCUGUAAGACUUGCAGGAAGCCAGUCAGCUGGGGAGAAACCCUUCUUUCAACAACCGAAGGUCAAGAACACAAAAGCCACCCUCAUACCUCGUGUCUUACUCUCUACCUAUGCCCCCAUGCUAUAGGAGUAGCGAUUUAAUAACGUAGCUCCCAUUUUAAGUCAAGCCACUAAGUUUCUCUUCUGAUCUAACUUUAUGUCUUCGUCUGCUAGCCAGAAGAGUGGUCAGAUUGGAAUGAGCCAACAGGAUAUUGUGGCAAGAGAAGCAGUCCACUUUUCUAGUAAAUGUAGAUGAGUCUAGACCCCACUGAGUAUGAGCCUUGGGCUAGGGGCUGGUGUGUAAAGAUUUUCUCCCCAAAUAUCUUGAUAUGCCUUUCUGGUCAGGCAGUCCCCUAUUUGGAAGGACUCUUGAGACGGAGAAAACCCACAAGGUCAUGACAAGAGUCCCAGCAAGCAAGCAACUUCAUUGUGUUUCUUGACUCUAGCUGGACCACACUGAGGCUACCAUUGCAGUCACACAGCAGGGUAACUAGGAAGGAGACAGCUGGGUCCCCUGGGUCAUAAGGAACGUAGACGUUAGUGUGAGCACUCCAUCCUCCCAGAAGUGGGUUCCAAAUGCAUGCCCAGCUGCCACCCCUAAACCCUCAGGCAGGUGGGAUGCUCCAUUCUAAGCUUUUAGAGAGGAGGGUGUGGUCUGCAUGAAUUAUGGAAUAACACUGCCUGUCUGAGAGACCCUUCUAUGUCACAGAUACUCUGUCCCAUAAGUAAACAUCCCAAAAGUUUCCGGAAACCGUGCCCUGGUCAACCUCUUUAGUUCCAACAGCUUUGGUAUACAUUAGGCAUGGAGCCCACUCCAAGAAGGCUUUUAGCUCCCGGGUUCCCUUCCCCGAAGUCCCCACCAAGGGUGGCCAGAUCAGUCCUCCUCAUCCUGAAGCAUGAAUGAUAUGAACAGGCUUCUGCUUUCAUUAGCCUCAGAUUCCUCCCUCACAGAUGAGAACUCACGGAAAGCUGAUGCAGAAUAAACUGGAAUUCAAAGUUGACUAGCUUGUUGGCUUUCCCUAGUGCAAGGAACCCUUGGGGUUGGUGGUGAGCUUUGCUGAAGUUGUGAUAACCCAGUCAUUUGCACAUAGAGGUUUGCAAAAGACACCAGAUUCUCCUCUCCUUCAUUUCGCAGUGUUUCUUGGCUGAGAGAUGCUCCCCUCCCCCUUUGCACUUACCCAGGAUGUUAAUUAAUUGUAUCAUCAUUUAAAAAAAUUAUGUUGUUAAUUACUGCUUUGUGUCUUCCCACCCCUGUCACAGCCUGGAGUUUUUAUUCAAUUAAAUCUCUGUCUCUUGCCCA
Molecule: RNA transcript, 4513 nt
Organism: Peromyscus californicus insignis
Lineage: Eukaryota; Metazoa; Chordata; Mammalia; Rodentia; Cricetidae
Gene: Syt6
Gene name: synaptotagmin 6
Exons: 9
Source: RefSeq, a predicted model, not a curated record